RNAcentral lists this ribosomal RNA (517 nucleotides) under uncultured ammonia-oxidizing bacterium. RNAcentral's name for it is "bacterial SSU rRNA". It matches the Rfam family "Bacterial small subunit ribosomal RNA", at positions 198 to 705 of the family's 1533-position model. The record is from RNAcentral.
GGAGGAAAGUAGGGGAUCGCAAGACCUUGCGCUUUUGGAGCGGCCGAUGUCUGAUUAGCUAGUUGGUGAGGUAAAGGCUUACCAAGGCGUCGAUCAGUAGCUGGUCUGAGAGGACGACCAGCCACACUGGGACUGAGACACGGCCCAGACUCUACGGGAGGCAGCAGUGGGGAAUUUUGGACAAUGGGGGAAACCCUGAUCCAGCCAUGCCGCGUGAGUGAAGAAGGCUUCGGGUUAAAGCUCUUUCAGCCGGAACGAAACGGUCACGGUUAAUACCCGUGACUACUGACGGUACCGGAAGAAGAAGCACCGGCUAACUACGUGCCAGCAGCCGCGGUAAUACGUAGGGUGCGAGCGUUAAUCGGAAUUACUGGGCGUAAAGCGUGCGCAGGCGGUUUUGUAAGUCAGAUGUGAAAUCCCCGGGCUUAACCUGGGAUGCGUUUGAAACUACAAGGCUAGAGUGUGGCAGAGGGGGGAAUUCCACGUGUAGCAGUGAAAUGCGUAGAGAUGUGGAGAA